GACAGAGGUGCCAAGCGUUAGGCGGAAUCACUGGGCUUAAAGCGUGUGUAGGCGGAUCGUUAAGUGUCUUGUGAAAUCCCACGGCUCACCCGUGGAACUGCUGGGCAUACUGGCGAUCUUGGGCCAACUAGGGGCAGUCGGAACAAGCGGUGGAGCGGUGAAAUGCGUAGAUAUCGCUUGGAACGCCGAAGGUGAAAACAGACUGCUGGGGUUGCGCCGACGCUGAGACACGAAAGCCAGGGGAGCAAACGGG
Molecule: ribosomal RNA, 253 nt
Filed under: uncultured bacterium
Lineage: Bacteria
Description: partial 16S ribosomal RNA
Rfam family: Bacterial small subunit ribosomal RNA
Source: RNAcentral